GUGGCCUGUUAAAGCUGAUAGUGCCUUAAGAGGCUAACCCAAAAGGAAGGGUAUAAUAUUUCUCCAUUAAACCCAAACUUGAGAUUUAAAGCUCAUUUUUGGAUCCUGUCUGGAGUUACAACU
Small nucleolar RNA from Sarcophilus harrisii (Tasmanian devil), 123 nucleotides. The record is from Ensembl. Lineage: Eukaryota; Metazoa; Chordata; Mammalia; Dasyuromorphia; Dasyuridae.